CGUACGAUACGAGUUUGAUCUGGCUCAGAGCGAACGUUAGCGGCGGGCUUAACACAUGCAAGUCGAGCGAGAAAGGGGCUUCGGCCCUGAGUACAGCGGCGGACGGGUGAAUAACACGUAGGUAACCUUCCUUCCAGCGGGGACAACGGUCCGAAAGGACCGCUAAUACCGCAUACGUUCCCUGGGACCCUGGUCCCGGGGAGGAAAGCUCCGCGAGGGGCACUGGAUGAGGGGCCUGCGUAGCAUCAGCUAGUUGGUGGGGUAAUGGCCUACCAAGGCUAAGACGCUUAGCUGGUCUGAGAGGAUGAUCAGCCACACUGGGACUGAGACACGGCCCAGACUCCUACGGGAGGCAGCAGUGGGGAAUAUUGGACAAUGGGCGCAAGCCUGAUCCAGCCACGCCGCGUGAGUGAUGAAGGCCUUCGGGUCGUAAAGACUCUGUGGGGAGGGACGAAUGGCGCCGUGAAGAGCGGCGAGUGACGGUACCGUCCUUAGCAAGCACCGGCUAACUUCGUG
This 516-nucleotide ribosomal RNA is filed under the name uncultured bacterium. RNAcentral's name for it is "bacterial SSU rRNA". It matches the Rfam family "Bacterial small subunit ribosomal RNA", at positions 1 to 507 of the family's 1533-position model. The record is from RNAcentral.